UUGUGUUAAUUCGAAGCAACGCGAAGAACCUUACAGGUCUUGACAUCCCGAUGCUAUUUCUAGAGAUAGAAAGUUACUUCGGUACAUCGGUGACAGGUGGUGCAUGGUUGUCGUCAGCUCGUGUCGUGAGAUGUUGGGUUAAGUCCCGCAACGAGCGCAACCCCUAUUGUUAGUUGCCAUCAUUCAGUUGGGCACUCUAGCGAGACUGCCGGUAAUAAACCGGAGGAAGGUGGGGAUGACGUCAAAUCAUCAUGCCCCUUAUGACCUGGGCUACACACGUGCUACAAUGGUUGGUACAAAGGGUUGCUAAUCCGCGAGGAUGCGCCAAUCCCAAAAAGCCGUUCUCAGUUCGGAUCGGAGUCUGCAACUCGACUCCGUGAAGUUGGAAUCGCUAGUAAUCGUGGAUCAGCAUGCCACGGUGAAUACGUUCCCGGGCCUU
Molecule: ribosomal RNA, 439 nt
Filed under: uncultured Streptococcus sp.
Lineage: Bacteria; Bacillati; Bacillota; Bacilli; Lactobacillales; Streptococcaceae
Description: bacterial SSU rRNA
Rfam family: Bacterial small subunit ribosomal RNA
Source: RNAcentral